Molecule: transfer RNA, 60 nt
Filed under: Candidatus Allofontibacter sp. PEL55
Lineage: Bacteria; Pseudomonadati; Pseudomonadota; Alphaproteobacteria; Candidatus Pelagibacterales; Candidatus Pelagibacteraceae
Description: tRNA-Thr
Rfam family: tRNA
About the family: Transfer RNA (tRNA) molecules are approximately 80 nucleotides in length. Their secondary structure includes four short double-helical elements and three loops (D, anti-codon, and T loops).
Source: RNAcentral
AUAGCUCAAUUGGUAGAGCAACUGAUUUGUAAUCAGUAGGUUGGGAGUUCAAGUCUCUCU